This 254-nucleotide ribosomal RNA is filed under the name uncultured bacterium. Its description in RNAcentral is "partial 16S ribosomal RNA". It matches the Rfam family "Bacterial small subunit ribosomal RNA", at positions 524 to 776 of the family's 1533-position model. The record is from RNAcentral.
CACGUAGGGUGCGAGCGUUGUCCGGAAUUAUUGGGCGUAAGGAGCUCGUAGGCGGUGUGUCACGUCGGCCGUGAAAACCUGCAGCUUAACUGUGGGCGUGCGGUCGAUACGGGCAUCACUGGAGUUCGGCAGGGGAGACUGGAAUUCCUGGUGUAGCGGUGAAAUGCGUAGAUAUCGGGAGGAACACCGGUGGCGAAGGCGGCCCCCUGGUUGGAUACUGACGCUGAGACGCGAAAGCGUGGGGAGCAAACAGG